This 264-nucleotide ribosomal RNA is filed under the name uncultured bacterium. RNAcentral's name for it is "partial 16S ribosomal RNA". It matches the Rfam family "Bacterial small subunit ribosomal RNA", at positions 28 to 290 of the family's 1533-position model. The record is from RNAcentral.
GACGAACGCUGGCGGCGUGCUUAACACAUGCAAGUCGAGCGGUAAGGCCCUUUCGGGGUACGACGAGCGGCGAACGGGUGAGUAACACGUGGGUGACCUGCCCUCCAGCUCUGGGAGUAAAGCCUGGGAAACUGGGUCUAAUACUGGAUAUGACUCCACGGUGCAUGUCGUGGGGUGGAAAGCCUUGUGCGGCUGAGGAUGGGCCCGCGGCCUAUCAGCUUGUUGGUGGGGUGAUGGCCUACCAAGGCGACGACGGGUAGCCGG